GUAACCCUAGUCAACCUGCCCUGGAGACAUGGAAAACCCCGGGAAACUGGCCAUUAAUCCGUGAUAGGUCACCUCAUCUGGAAGGAGAGAUGGCUUAAAGGGGUGCGAGAGCUUCUUUCUUGCAUUCGCUCCAGGAUGGGACUGCGGCCGAUCAGGCUGUUGGCGGUGUAAUGGACCACCAAACCUGUAACCGGUACGGGCCUUGAGAGAGGGGGCCCGGAGAUGGACACUGAGAGAAGGGUCCAGGUCCUACGGGGCGCAGCAGGCGCGAAACCUUCGCAAUGCGCGAAAGCGUGACGAGGUUAAUCCGAGUGGUCCCCGCUGAGGGGAUCUUUUGUUGGCUGUAAAAAGGCCGAUGAAUAAGGGGAGGGCAAGUCUGGUGUCAGCCGCCGCGGUAAUACCAGCUCCUCGAGUGGUCGGGGCGAUUAUUGGGCCUAAAGCAUCCGUAGCCGGUUCUGUAGGUCCUCUGUCAAAUCCAACGGCUUAACCGUUGGCCCGCAGAGGAUACCGCAGGACU
This 517-nucleotide ribosomal RNA is filed under the name uncultured archaeon. Its description in RNAcentral is "bacterial SSU rRNA". It matches the Rfam family "Archaeal small subunit ribosomal RNA", at positions 93 to 593 of the family's 1478-position model. The record is from RNAcentral.